GACGAACGCUGGCGGCGUGCUUAACACAUGCAAGUCGAACGGAAAGGCCCUGCUUUUGUGGGGUGCUCGAGUGGCGAACGGGUGAGUAACACGUGAGUAACCUGCCCUUGACUUUGGGAUAACUUCAGGAAACUGGGGCUAAUACCGGAUAGGAGCUCCUGCUGCAUGGUGGGGGUUGGAAAGUUUCGGCGGUUGGGGAUGGACUCGCGGCUUAUCAGCGUGUUGGUGGGGUAGUGGCUUACCAAGGCUUUGACGGGUAGCCGGCCUGAGAGGGUGACCGGCCACAUUGGGACUGAGAUACGACCCAGACUCCUACGGGAGGCAGCAGUGGGGAAUAUUGCACAAUGGGCGGAAGCCUGAUGCAGCAACGCCGCGUGCGGGAUGACGGCCUUCGGGUUGUAAACCGCUUUCGCCUGUGACGAAGCGUGAGUGACGGUAAUGGGUAAAGAAGCACCGGCUAACUACGUG
This 468-nucleotide ribosomal RNA is filed under the name uncultured bacterium. RNAcentral's name for it is "partial 16S ribosomal RNA". It matches the Rfam family "Bacterial small subunit ribosomal RNA", at positions 28 to 507 of the family's 1533-position model. The record is from RNAcentral.